GAUGAAGAACGUAGCGAAAUGCGAUAAGUAAUGUGAAUUGCAGAAUUCAGUGAAUCAUCGAGUCUUUGAACGCACAUUGCGCCCCCUGGUAUUCCGGGGGGCAUGCCUGUCCGAGCGUCAUUGCCGCCCUCAAGCACGGCUUGUGUGUUGGGCCCCCGCCCCCCGGCUUCGGGGGGCGGGCCCGAAAGGCAGCGGCGGCACCGCGUCCGGUCCUCGAGCGUAUGGGGCUUCGUCACCCGCUCUGUAGGCCCGGCCGGCGCCCGCCGGCGACCCCAAUCAAUCUUUCCAGGUUGACCUCGGAUCAGGUAGGGAUACUCGCUGAACUUAAGCAUAUCAAUAAGCGGAGGA
Molecule: unclassified non-coding RNA, 348 nt
Filed under: soil metagenome
Description: partial contains 5.8S ribosomal RNA, internal transcribed spacer 2, and large subunit ribosomal RNA
Rfam family: 5.8S ribosomal RNA (bases 1-120)
Source: RNAcentral